GAUCAGUGGCUCAGGACGAACGCUGGCGGCGUGCCUAANACAUGCAAGUCGAACGAGAAUCGAUGGAAAGAGGGCUUCGGCCAAUGGAAGUUGAGGACAGUGGCGAACGGGUGAGUAACGCGUGAGCAACCUGCCUUUCAGAGGGGGACAACAGUUGGAAACGACUGCUAAUACCGCAUAACACAGUGAGGGGGCAUCCUCUUACUGUCAAAGAUUUAUCGGUACAAGAUGGACCCGCGUCUGAUUAGCUAGUUGGUGAGGUAACGGGCCCACCAAGGCGACGAUCAGUAGCCGGCCUGAGAGGGUGACCGGCCACAUUGGGACUGAGACACGGCCCAAACUCCUACGGGAGGCAGCAGUGGGGAAUAUUGCACAAUGGGGGAAACCCUGAUGCAGCAACGCCGCGUGAGUGAAGAAGUAUUUCGGUAUGUAAAGCUCUAUCAGCAGGGAAGAAAAUGACGGUACCUGACUAAGAAGCCCCGGCUAACUACGUG
This 494-nucleotide ribosomal RNA is filed under the name uncultured bacterium. Its description in RNAcentral is "bacterial SSU rRNA". It matches the Rfam family "Bacterial small subunit ribosomal RNA", at positions 15 to 507 of the family's 1533-position model. The record is from RNAcentral.